Molecule: long non-coding RNA, 807 nt
Filed under: Monodelphis domestica (gray short-tailed opossum)
Lineage: Eukaryota; Metazoa; Chordata; Mammalia; Didelphimorphia; Didelphidae
Description: lncRNA (ENSMODG00000046163.1)
Source: RNAcentral
AUGAUGCCAUGCCCACAAGAAUUACCUCCUUUAAAUUACCCCCCAAAGCUUAGGGUGUGGGAAAGAAGGCUCUCGGGGGUAACUGCCCAGCCCUUUAGAUCAAUUAAAUGGUUCUUUGUUACGCAGCCUGGUGCCUCGACUUUGAUUCUACAGUGUCGGCUCCCCCUACUGGCUAUUAGAACAUUUGUGCAUCUUCUCUCUUUUCUCUCUCUCCCCUCUACUUGUUCUCUUCCCCUUUCCUUCCUCCCCAUUCUUACCUCUUCAUUUCUUCUUCUCUCCUUUCUUUCUCACCUUCUGUCUUCCUUUCUCUUCACCUAUUUCUUUCUUACCUUCCCUCUUUUUCUCUCUUUUCUCCCCCUACCUAUUAAAGACCAGAGGCAAUUUCAUGCCUAUGAAUCUUUCCAUUAUUGCCCACCCUCCCUCCAAGGUGCCAAAUCCACUGUGAGUCUGAGGGAGCCGUCUGUUGACCUGGUGAAGAAAGCAGAGCCUCCAGUUAAUUCCCAGAUGCUCCUGCCUGCUGUUGAAGCCCAGAAAGGCAAAGAAAAUACUUAUGCACGAUAAUUUGAAGCUGGGAAGAAAAUGUAAAGAGAAGAGAUCAGGCUAAGAAUGCUACCAAAGGCAAAGUGGUCAGAAGCUGUCUCAUCAGUGUUCGGCUGUUCUCAGCACAUCCCAAAGGAGCCAGGAAGCAUGUCACCAGGCAAUGGAGAGAGGUAUGUGCAGACAGAGGAGUAAAAAGAGAGGAAUCAGAUGUGGAGAAAAUUAGAGCUGAACCCCAUUAAGCACGAAAGAAUUCUCUGUCGCUGAGUC